This is a long non-coding RNA of Biomphalaria glabrata, 2903 nucleotides long. RefSeq lists it as uncharacterized. The record is from RefSeq and is a predicted model, not a curated record. NCBI's taxonomy places the organism in Eukaryota, Metazoa, Mollusca, Gastropoda, Planorbidae. The transcript is spliced from 3 exons.
UGGAACUCAGCGGCGUGUCUUGAUUAGUUCACUUUAUGUAACCAAUGCCUUAAAUUAUUCUCUCGAUAAAGAAGUAACACUGAUGAUAAAAUAUUCGCUGGACAGGUAUGAUGAGUCACUAAGACUAGAAAGACGAGAAGAACUUUGACAACAUCUUGUCGUGAGUGACAAUGUCCAUCUUGUGGGUCAGUUUAUCUUAAAAUAACUUGGUCGUGCUAGAAGGCUGCAUAAUUAAUAUUUGUUGAAUUAAUGUGUUCAUUUUUAGAAUGUGUUCAAUCCAGAAGCUUAUCGUCGUGUACAGAAACAUUAGAUAAAAUAUUCAGUAACAUCUGGCAUGGUUCCAUAGAUGAAUAGCUUUUACAUUUCUAGACAGCAGACGACAAAGAUGACGAUUCAGGUUCUCUUAUUCUUACUUCUUGCCUAUUGCCAUGGUUUCCUUAUACAAAAGUUUGACUGUCUGACUUGUGCUGAGGGGGACACUUUCUGUCUGUCGAAUUGUAUCUUCACCAUCUUCCCAACCAAUUUGUGCUCUAACUGUCUGCCCACUGACUUUCAGUGUUUGUCGUCUUGCAAGCUGAUUGGAUGAUGUGGUCACGUGUUAUGUGCUACUGAAGGACAUUUGGUUUAUGUAUGACAUUGUAUGUGAAUAUGUUAAUGUGUUAGAAUUGUGCUGGUAUUCAACUAUAAGGGUAUCAAGAAACUAAAGACUGUCUUGGACAAAAUAUGCCGUGUUUAGUUGCGAAUUGCUUUUUAAUGCUAUCGACACUUUUCAAAACACUUACAUUGAAAGUUGUUUUCUGUUUUUAAAGUAAGGAGUCCUACUAGAACAAUAUUUUGUAGCUUGGAACAAAGAAACACCUGAAAAAUUCAGUUGUUUAUAAAAGAGAGAGCCCAAACUCAGUUUCUAACGUUUCUGUUCUUAAAUUAGAAGCAAGCUAACUCUAGUCUACAUUUUGAAAUUUUGAGGAUUUUUUGUUUUGUUUCAGUGUACCUCGAGUUUCUUCCUUCAUUUCUACGGUCCCUUUUAUGCCCAGCGCCACCCAACCGCCCCCAUUGUGCCGAGCGCCCCCUAACCCUUCCUUUUGACUCCCAGCGCUCCCAAAUAUCAAGAAAUCGCUCCCAGUGGGGCGCUAGACCCCGUUGAAGAACACUAACAAUAAUAAUGUGCAAUUACAAAUAUUUUUACUGGUUGCUUAAAUCUAGCGCAAUUUCAUGCUUUUAACUUUCUCAGUACGCUAUGGUCCUAUACCUUGUUUGGACCAGUUCUAAAGGGGUAGGGGAGAAAAAAGGAGGUAUCUGGGUGAUCGAUUUUUGAAUACAUUUAUUAAAAAAAAGGUAAACGACCUGAAUUCGAAGUCGAGGGCUAAAGCCUCCUCAGCCUCAUCAAGCCAAUACUCUAACCAAUGUGCCAUGUUUGUGAAAAUAGAAGGUUUAUUAAUUAUCUAUUGUUAGUUUCAAAUUUUCCUCUCUACAAAGUAUAAAGGGGACUAAUUCAGUUUAUACCACCACAUCAGUCAACAUCAGUCAAGUACAAUUUCUUAUCUUUUUUUUUUAGAUACCAAACAAAAAAAAUAUUACCAAUAGUUAACUAACUAAUUGGAUAUUUUUUUUUAUUGAUUCUUGUGUUGUCAGGUAAAAUAAAUAAUUGUGUAAACUUUCAUCUUGAUCCGAGAUCGGAAGUUGGAGAAAUAACAUGUACAAACAUUUUACAAGAUAGUCCUAUACAUAGAACUAAAGAUCACAAUGGAUAGAAUUAAAUGGAACAUUAACAUUCGUGAGUGAGGUGAAGUGAAGUAUCUUACAAUGGAGUAUUCUGGAACGUUCAUUGUAGAAACACCUUUGAAAGUGUAGUCGUAAAGGAAUUAUCAAAGUAUCAAAAAUCAAAUUGUGUUUCAGACACAAUUCUAACAAUCCAAAUCAAUGAACUUAGGCAUGGUAAUACCAGACAUGGUUUUGAGGUUUUAUUCUGUCACUGCGAACUUUAACUCUUCCCUUUGAAAGUCAAUCUUUCUUCCAUCUUUUCAAUUUGGAGCUAUAGGUCAGAUGAUGAAAAGGUCAUCUGUUUAUGUGGCCUACGGUUUACGAGGGUGUCACGUGGCCGACACAUCGACCAACCACCUUUACUUUUCCCCAACUAAUGUCAAGUACCCAUUAGAGAUGGGUGGACUCAGAGGCGGCCAAAGAUCCCGAAAUUAAAAAUCUCAGUCUUCAACAGAAUUCGAACCGGGGACCCCCAGCGCUUUACCGCUCAGCCACCGCACAACUGCAGCUAUAGCCUAAUAAUGACAGCAAAACACGAUUUUAGACUAUUCCUGACUGUUUAUCUAUUUAUUUGUAUUUUUUUUUAUGCCAGAAGAUAGUAAAAAAAAUAUCUUUGACCUAUUUUUACUGAAACAUUCUAAAUAUAGAGCUCGCGGUUUUGUGAAAACAUAAGGCGGACUAACUGCACAGAAUUAUUCAAUUAGAACAAUGAAGCUGGUAAUAGUCCUUGUUUUCAUAGCCGUAACAUCCGGGAUCUCUACAGCUCUGCUGACAGAUCUUUUAGGGUUAGACUGCCUCACAUGUUUACCCACAGACUUCUCGUGUCGGUUCAGGUGCCCGGAACUAUUGCGAAGGCAGCUAUGUCAACACUGUUCUCCCAGCGACCCGGUCUGCAUGCCGCUGUGUCUGAGGACUCUGAGACGUCGACGUGACAUAGAAUGUUUGAUGUGUCAUGAGAACCUUUCGUGUUUAAUUCAAUGUGGCUACGUGGGUGUUAGCGUUGGGAAAUAAAACCCAAAGAUCUAAUUCGAGUAUUGUUCGUGCGAGUAGCAUUUCGCUUUUUUUGAGUUCUUCAUUAAGAGAUUCGAUUUUUAAUUUUUUGUGAAAAUAGAAUGUAAAAAUAAAUUUAUAUGUUAUAUGUA